RNAcentral lists this ribosomal RNA (2902 nucleotides) under Klebsiella pneumoniae. RNAcentral's name for it is "23S ribosomal RNA". It matches the Rfam family "Bacterial large subunit ribosomal RNA". Lineage: Bacteria; Pseudomonadati; Pseudomonadota; Gammaproteobacteria; Enterobacterales; Enterobacteriaceae. The record is from RNAcentral. RNAcentral also lists the same sequence under 1 other name.
GGUUAAGCGACUAAGCGUACACGGUGGAUGCCCUGGCAGUCAGAGGCGAUGAAGGACGUGCUAAUCUGCGAAAAGCGUCGGUAAGGUGAUAUGAACCGUUAUAACCGGCGAUGUCCGAAUGGGGAAACCCAGUGCAAUUCGUUGCACUAUCGUUAACUGAAUACAUAGGUUAACGAGGCGAACCGGGGGAACUGAAACAUCUAAGUACCCCGAGGAAAAGAAAUCAACCGAGAUUCCCCCAGUAGCGGCGAGCGAACGGGGAGCAGCCCAGAGUCUGAAUCAGCUUGUGUGUUAGUGGAACGGUCUGGAAAGUCCGACGGUACAGGGUGAUAGUCCCGUACACCAAAAUGCACAGGUUGUGAACUCGAAGAGUAGGGCGGGACACGUGGUAUCCUGUCUGAAUAUGGGGGGACCAUCCUCCAAGGCUAAAUACUCCUGACUGACCGAUAGUGAACCAGUACCGUGAGGGAAAGGCGAAAAGAACCCCGGCGAGGGGAGUGAAAAAGAACCUGAAACCGUGUACGUACAAGCAGUGGGAGCACCUUCGGGUGUGACUGCGUACCUUUUGUAUAAUGGGUCAGCGACUUAUAUUCUGUAGCAAGGUUAACCGUAUAGGGGAGCCGCAGGGAAACCGAGUCUUAACUGGGCGUUAAGUUGCAGGGUAUAGACCCGAAACCCGGUGAUCUAGCCAUGGGCAGGUUGAAGGUUGGGUAACACUAACUGGAGGACCGAACCGACUAAUGUUGAAAAAUUAGCGGAUGACUUGUGGCUGGGGGUGAAAGGCCAAUCAAACCGGGAGAUAGCUGGUUCUCCCCGAAAGCUAUUUAGGUAGCGCCUCGUGAAUUCAUCUUCGGGGGUAGAGCACUGUUUCGGCUAGGGGGUCAUCCCGACUUACCAACCCGAUGCAAACUACGAAUACCGAAGAAUGUUAUCACGGGAGACACACGGCGGGUGCUAACGUCCGUCGUGAAGAGGGAAACAACCCAGACCGCCAGCUAAGGUCCCAAAGUCAUGGUUAAGUGGGAAACGAUGUGGGAAGGCACAGACAGCCAGGAUGUUGGCUUAGAAGCAGCCAUCAUUUAAAGAAAGCGUAAUAGCUCACUGGUCGAGUCGGCCUGCGCGGAAGAUGUAACGGGGCUAAACCAUGCACCGAAGCUGCGGCAGCGACACUAUGUGUUGUUGGGUAGGGGAGCGUUCUGUAAGCCUGCGAAGGUGUGCUGUGAGGCAUGCUGGAGGUAUCAGAAGUGCGAAUGCUGACAUAAGUAACGAUAAAGCGGGUGAAAAGCCCGCUCGCCGGAAGACCAAGGGUUCCUGUCCAACGUUAAUCGGGGCAGGGUGAGUCGACCCCUAAGGCGAGGCCGAAAGGCGUAGUCGAUGGGAAACAGGUUAAUAUUCCUGUACUUGGUGUUACUGCGAAGGGGGGACGGAGAAGGCUAUGUUAGCCGGGCGACGGUUGUCCCGGUUUAAGCAUGUAGGCUGGUUGUCCAGGCAAAUCCGGAUAAUCAAGGCUGAGGUGUGAUGACGAGGCACUACGGUGCUGAAGUAACAAAUGCCCUGCUUCCAGGAAAAGCCUCUAAGCAUCAGGUAACAUCAAAUCGUACCCCAAACCGACACAGGUGGUCAGGUAGAGAAUACCAAGGCGCUUGAGAGAACUCGGGUGAAGGAACUAGGCAAAAUGGUGCCGUAACUUCGGGAGAAGGCACGCUGGUGUGUAGGUGAAGCCCCUGCGGGUGGAGCUGAGACCAGUCGAAGAUACCAGCUGGCUGCAACUGUUUAUUAAAAACACAGCACUGUGCAAACACGAAAGUGGACGUAUACGGUGUGACGCCUGCCCGGUGCCGGAAGGUUAAUUGAUGGGGUUAUCCGUAAGGAGAAGCUCUUGAUCGAAGCCCCGGUAAACGGCGGCCGUAACUAUAACGGUCCUAAGGUAGCGAAAUUCCUUGUCGGGUAAGUUCCGACCUGCACGAAUGGCGUAAUGAUGGCCAGGCUGUCUCCACCCGAGACUCAGUGAAAUUGAACUCGCUGUGAAGAUGCAGUGUACCCGCGGCAAGACGGAAAGACCCCGUGAACCUUUACUAUAGCUUGACACUGAACAUUGAGCCUUGAUGUGUAGGAUAGGUGGGAGGCUUUGAAGCGUGGACGCCAGUCUGCGUGGAGCCAACCUUGAAAUACCACCCUUUAAUGUUUGAUGUUCUAACGUUGGCCCCUUACCGGGGUUGCGGACAGUGUCUGGUGGGUAGUUUGACUGGGGCGGUCUCCUCCCAAAGCGUAACGGAGGAGCACGAAGGUUAGCUAAUCCUGGUCGGACAUCAGGAGGUUAGUGCAAUGGCAUAAGCUAGCUUGACUGCGAGCGUGACGGCGCGAGCAGGUGCGAAAGCAGGUCAUAGUGAUCCGGUGGUUCUGAAUGGAAGGGCCAUCGCUCAACGGAUAAAAGGUACUCCGGGGAUAACAGGCUGAUACCGCCCAAGAGUUCAUAUCGACGGCGGUGUUUGGCACCUCGAUGUCGGCUCAUCACAUCCUGGGGCUGAAGUAGGUCCCAAGGGUAUGGCUGUUCGCCAUUUAAAGUGGUACGCGAGCUGGGUUUAGAACGUCGUGAGACAGUUCGGUCCCUAUCUGCCGUGGGCGCUGGAGAAUUGAGGGGGGCUGCUCCUAGUACGAGAGGACCGGAGUGGACGCAUCACUGGUGUUCGGGUUGUCAUGCCAAUGGCACUGCCCGGUAGCUAAAUGCGGAAGAGAUAAGUGCUGAAAGCAUCUAAGCACGAAACUUGCCCCGAGAUGAGUUCUCCCUGAGACUUUAAGUCUCCUGAAGGAACGUUAAAGACGAUGACGUUGAUAGGCCGGGUGUGUAAGCGCAGCGAUGCGUUGAGCUAACCGGUACUAAUGAACCGUGAGGCUUAACCUU